AACCCUUUAUGGAAUAACCUAAGUUCAAUGGCCGCGGUAUUUCUGACCGUGAUAAUGUAGCGAAAUCAAUCGUCACUUAAUUGCUGACCGGUAUGAAUGGCAUAACGAGUGUUCUCCUGUCUCAGAAAAAUCCUCUAUGAAAUUGUAGAGGUCGUGCAUAUACGGCCUUAAUCUUGUAAGACGAAAAGACCCUAUUGAGCUUUACUAUCUUCUUUUCCUAAUUUAUAUCUUCUGUUAAACCAACAAAAAGCUAUUACCCGGAAAGAGUGUUAGUUUCGUUGGGGCGACGGCCUUUUAAAAAGUAACAAAGGCUCACAAAGAGUUAUUUAACAAUAUUUAUCCUUUGACUGUUAGGGUUAUAACCCAAACAGACACAAACGUGGGUUAUAAAUUUCCACCUAAAUUAACUAGGUGCCAUAACAUAAAAGUUACCAUAGGGAUAACAGCGUAAUUUUGUCGAAGAGUUCUUAUCGAUGACAAAGA
Molecule: ribosomal RNA, 483 nt
Filed under: Calvadosia sp. 1 LSM-2016
Lineage: Eukaryota; Metazoa; Cnidaria; Staurozoa; Stauromedusae; Kishinouyeidae
Description: partial 16S ribosomal RNA
Rfam family: Bacterial large subunit ribosomal RNA
Source: RNAcentral